GACAGAGGGUGCAAACGUUGUUCGGAAUUACUGGGCGUAAAGCGUGUGUAGGCGGUCCACUAAGUCGGAUGUGAAAGCCCCGGGCUCAACCCGGGAAGUGCACUCGAAACUGGUGGGCUAGAGUAUCGGAGAGGUUGGUGGAAUUCUCGGUGUAGAGGUGAAAUUCGUAGAUAUUAGGAAGAACACCGGUGGCGAAGGCGGCAUCCUGGACCGGCAUUGACGCUGAGGCGCGAAAGUCAGGGGAGCAAACGGG
This 253-nucleotide ribosomal RNA is filed under the name uncultured bacterium. RNAcentral describes it as "partial 16S ribosomal RNA". It matches the Rfam family "Bacterial small subunit ribosomal RNA", at positions 524 to 776 of the family's 1533-position model. The record is from RNAcentral.